This 246-nucleotide ribosomal RNA is filed under the name uncultured Sphingobacteriales bacterium. RNAcentral describes it as "partial 16S ribosomal RNA". It matches the Rfam family "Bacterial small subunit ribosomal RNA", at positions 1137 to 1382 of the family's 1533-position model. Lineage: Bacteria; Pseudomonadati; Bacteroidota; Sphingobacteriia; Sphingobacteriales. The record is from RNAcentral.
ACUCUAAAGGAACUGCCUACGCAAGUAGUGAGGAAGGCGGGGAUGACGUCAAAUCAGCACGGCCCUUACGUCCAGGGCUACACACGUGCUACAAUGGCCGAUACAGAGGGCAGCUACCUGGUGACAGGAUGCAAAUCUCCAAAGUCGGUCUCAGUUCGGAUCGGAGUCUGCAACCCGACUCCGUGAAGUUGGAUUCGCUAGUAAUCGCGCAUCAGCCAUGGCGCGGUGAAUACGUUCCCGGGCCUU